CUCAGGAAAUGGCCGAAAAGUAGUGAAACAAGCUCUUAUCGAUGGCGGAAAAUAGGAAGAAAUUGCCUCAGCUUCGCCGACUAUAGAAGGGGACCUUCGGCGGCACGAAACUUUGGUUGCCAUUUCUCAUCGUUGCCCAUCACUUCUAGACCCUCUUGAUUUUGGAGGAUGAUUGUUAACAAUCCAUAAUCCGAGUGCCGGGGGAGGCCCAGAGCUAAUUUUGGUUCUGGGCAAGCAGGGUAGCAAUUCACGGCUAAGACUUGGGAGCCUUGCUCCACAUCAUUCUGCAAGUAGUCCGAUCGUAGACCCAAACUCUUAAAUAUUAUCUGCAUUAGCUUUGUAUGUAAAAGAAGCACAGCCUUGGCAUAGUUUCCCAUUUUCUUCCUACAAAAUCAAUUCGUACUCUUUGAGUCCCACCUUGUAUGUUUUGACUCGGGAUAAUGAUGAUAAGGCAAAAUAAGAAAGUACAGUAAUAGGAGUAUAUUUUAUUAAAUGUGGCAUAUUAUGUUUUACUACUAGUUAUUAGUUGUGCAAGGACUGAAUUGUGUUGCUUACUUGUAAGUUGGAGGCUCUGAUGGCCACAAGUCGAUCCAAGUUGAAAUUGGGUUGGAGUAGUGUUUGAUGAAGUCUCUCCAAUAUUGAACUUUAUCCUUGACUUGAUUUACACUUGUCCCGUACCUUACAGGUUCAUGAACAUUAGUUGAGGCAAGCCGCAUCUUUGCGUCAUUUGGCAUCUCAAAGAAAUCUUCUGCAACAUCCAGAGCCUCAUCCGUUAAUGAAACAUGAAUUCCAUGAUUGAUCACCUGCAGGGGAGACAAGAAAUUUUUAGCACAUCUUCUUAGAAUAGAGUGGUUAAACUGUGCAUGAUGUGCUUACAGUCAAACUGCUUUGUAGUUGACUGCUCAUGCAAUGAGAAGCCAGUAUAAUACCACGGAAGAUGAAAUUCUUCAGUGAAUUUGCCUAAACUGCUUCAGGAUCACACUUUGUUUUACUUUCUUCACUAGCAAUGCACUCUCAUUAUUGAUGUUAAACCAUGCAAUGCACUCUCAUUACUUAUUAGGAAUUUUACACUGUUAGUUAUGGCCUAAAAUCUGUUUUGUCGUUCAGGUGGGUUUUAUGCAAUUAUAUGUGAUUAUUAACAUACCUGAAAACCUCCGAAUUCCUUGCAAGCCACUUGCACUUGUUCAAUCACCUGUGAUUGACGAACCGGGUUCUCUAAAGAGGAGAGAUCUAUGAGUGGCAAAGCACUGAAGGAGGAAGGUGGUGUCAGCUCAAGGGUAGGGCGAUCUGCUGGAGGAAGAAUAUAGCUCUCAGGAACAGUGCUUAUACCCAUUUGUGCAAGUGUCAUUGUGCUCGUGAAAUACUGAUCUUCUGCGGAGUGAGUAUUAUCUGCCAUGCACAUCUUCAUCAGAAAUCCUUGAGCAACUUCCUCACCUGCUCAAGCGUCACAAACAGCACCACCGUAAACGGCCCCUGCCUCGAUAUCGUCGGAAUAAACCCCUUGUAAAGGGCGAACGACCACUCGGCCCUGAUCGUCUUCAUCGGAAAAGCUGAGCUGCUUAAGGUCUGAGGAUGAAUCAUGGGGCGGAGUUCCGGAUGCCGUGGGGUCGGGGGCUGUUGGGAGGAGUCUUCCGGCGGUUCUCCGGGGACGGCGUUGGGGUCGGCCGACCCCGCGCGACCCCACCUGCAUCCGCCGAUGAUUCCAAGGUGGAGAGAGAGAGAGACAAAAGAUGGUUGUCAUCACCACUUCUUCCACUUGGAUAUUUUAUUACGCGGGAAAUAAGGCAUGACUUCACAGAGUC
Molecule: long non-coding RNA, 1802 nt
Organism: Salvia splendens (bonfire salvia)
Lineage: Eukaryota; Viridiplantae; Streptophyta; Magnoliopsida; Lamiales; Lamiaceae
Exons: 3
Source: RefSeq, a predicted model, not a curated record